UACACGGGAGGGUUGUAUUGCG
RNAcentral lists this non-coding RNA (22 nucleotides) under Arabidopsis thaliana (thale cress). The record is from RNAcentral. Lineage: Eukaryota; Viridiplantae; Streptophyta; Magnoliopsida; Brassicales; Brassicaceae.